Ciona savignyi (Pacific transparent sea squirt) is the source of this 74-nucleotide non-coding RNA. The record is from Rfam. NCBI's taxonomy places the organism in Eukaryota, Metazoa, Chordata, Ascidiacea, Phlebobranchia, Cionidae.
GUCUCUGUGGCCCAAUUGGUUAGCGCGUUCGGCUGUUAACCGAAAGGUUGCUGGUUCAAGCCCAGCCAGGGACG